Y RNA from Pongo abelii (Sumatran orangutan), 103 nucleotides. It matches the Rfam family "Y RNA". From Rfam's summary of the family: Y RNAs are components of the Ro ribonucleoprotein particle (Ro RNP), in association with Ro60 and La proteins. The Y RNAs and Ro60 and La proteins are well conserved, but the function of the Ro RNP is not known. The record is from Ensembl. NCBI's taxonomy places the organism in Eukaryota, Metazoa, Chordata, Mammalia, Primates, Hominidae.
AAUUAGGCUGAGUGCAGUGGUGUUUUACAACAAAUUGAUCACAACCAGUUACAGGUUUCUUUGUUCCUUCUCCACUCCCACUGUUUCACUUGGCUUACCUUAA